GAUGAACGCUGGCGGCGUGCCUAAUACAUGCAAGUCGAGCGAACGGACGAGAAGCUUGCUUCUCUGAUGUUAGCGGCGGACGGGUGAGUAACACGUGGAUAACCUACCUAUAAGACUGGGAUAACUUCGGGAAACCGGAGCUAAUACCGGAUAAUAUUUUGAACCGCAUGGUUCAAAAGUGAAAGACGGUCUUGCUGUCACUUAUAGAUGGAUCCGCGCUGCAUUAGCUAGUUGGUAAGGUAACGGCUUACCAAGGCAACGAUGCAUAGCCGACCUGAGAGGGUGAUCGGCCAAACUGGAACUGAGAAACGGUCCAGACACCUACGGGAGGCAGCAGUAGGGAAUCUUCCGAAAGGGGCGAAAGCCUGAAGGAGCAACGCCGCGUGAGUGAUGAAGGUCUUCGGAUCGUAAAACUCUGUUAUUAGGGAAAAAAAUAUGUGUAAGUAACUGUGCACAUCUUGACGGUACCAAAUCAGAAAGCCACGGCUAACUACG
This 495-nucleotide ribosomal RNA is filed under the name uncultured bacterium. RNAcentral describes it as "partial 16S ribosomal RNA". It matches the Rfam family "Bacterial small subunit ribosomal RNA", at positions 28 to 505 of the family's 1533-position model. The record is from RNAcentral.